UAACUGAUAAUCCUGGAAAGUGAAGCAUCGGAGCUCGGGGUCAUAGAACUGUAGAAGAGUUUGCAACGACACUGGAUCUACCACCAUCUUCGACAAUGUCAACAAGUCCCCAUACUGAUCAGCAAACACUUUCUGAUUACCUUCGGUCACCAGGUUGCUCAACUCUAUCAAAGAUGUUAAUGGCUCACGGUGAAAACCGUAGGAGCAAGUCUUCCGCUUCAACUCGGGAACGGAUGCCAUCUCUCACAGUGAAUAGACUCCUGAAUGAACCUGAGAAAUG
This 280-nucleotide long non-coding RNA is filed under the name Lathyrus oleraceus (garden pea). RNAcentral's name for it is "Pisum sativum (pea) long non-coding RNA (PSAT_LNC003594)". Lineage: Eukaryota; Viridiplantae; Streptophyta; Magnoliopsida; Fabales; Fabaceae. The record is from RNAcentral.